UACAGUAUAGUAUCAAUGGUGUCAUGUAUUAACCUUUCUUUGUUAAGAUGAAUAUUUUUUUUAAUGGAGCACCAAGUCCCUGUGUGAAAGACUAAAGAUCUUACAGUAUAGUAUCAAUAUUGUCACGUAUUAACCUUUCUUUGUUAAGAUGACUAUUUUUUCAAAUGGAACACCAAGUCCCUGUGUGAAAGAUUAAAGAUCUUACAGUAUAGUAUCAAUAGUGUCAUGUAUUAACCUUUCUUUGUUACGACUUCAAUAUUAAGUUCCUGUUAAAGAUUGGAGUCCAUUCAGUUAGUAUUAAUAUAUUGUUAACUAUCAUUACAGGUUGGGCAGCAAUGUAGUGCCGCCUCCACGUGGCGCUGCCUGGGAUCACUAGUGGCUACUACUGCUAGUGAUGCUAAGAGCACUACAUACAAGAAGAAUAUAACAAGACUGCACUAACACUAGAUUCAAGUUGAAGCAAAGAUGAAAUCUCAAGUGGUGGGAUACUCAAGAAGCAAGAGAUUUUUAAAGAGACAAACAAACAAUGACACUUCCUUGACACUUAUUAACGUUUUGCUAAGUUCAAUUUCUUUAAAAAUAUUUUUAAUUUUGAUUACAUACAA
This is a long non-coding RNA of Amphimedon queenslandica, 605 nucleotides long. RefSeq lists it as uncharacterized. NCBI's taxonomy places the organism in Eukaryota, Metazoa, Porifera, Demospongiae, Haplosclerida, Niphatidae. The record is from RefSeq and is a predicted model, not a curated record. The transcript has 2 exons.